UUGGUGCCUUCGGGAACUCUGACACAGGUGCUGCAUGGCUGUCGUCAGCUCGUGUCGUGAGAUGGUUGGGUUAACGUCCCGUAACGAGCGCAACCCUUGUCCUUAGUUACCAGCACGUUAUGGUGGGCACUCUAAGGAGACUGCCGGUGACAAACCGGAGGAAGGUGGGGAUGACGUCAAGUCAUCAUGGCCCUUACGGCCUGGGCUACACACGUGCUACAAUGGUCGGUACAAAGGGUUGCCAAGCCGCGAGGUGGAGCUAAUCCCAUAAAACCGAUCGUAGUCCGGAUCGCAGUCUGCAACUCGACUGCGUGAAGUCGGAAUCGCUAGUAAUCGUGAAUCAGAAUGUCACGGUGAAUACGUUCCCGGGCCUU
RNAcentral lists this ribosomal RNA (374 nucleotides) under uncultured Pseudomonas sp. RNAcentral's name for it is "bacterial SSU rRNA". It matches the Rfam family "Bacterial small subunit ribosomal RNA", at positions 1011 to 1382 of the family's 1533-position model. Lineage: Bacteria; Pseudomonadati; Pseudomonadota; Gammaproteobacteria; Pseudomonadales; Pseudomonadaceae. The record is from RNAcentral.